CCUUUUCCCCUUCAUCUCUUUGCCCAUGUAAAAGCAGCGACAAUACAACAAAACGACAAAGCCAUUAAUGCUUGACCGCGGAGAACUACUCCAACGUCUCUUCCCCCAACCUAGCACUAUUUGUGUGCAGCAAAUUCAGCGAUGGCAGGCUCUCAUCUCGUCCUUGCUCGCGCGGAUGCGCGACACGUCAUGUGACAAGGACCCCAAAUCGAUCCAAGACGUUGAUUCUUCUUUCCUCUUUCGGAAUGGAGUUGAAUUCUCAGAAAAAGUUGUCUAUCCUAAAUUGGCAAAAGUUUUGGAAUUCAAAACUGAAAAAUCGUCCUCUUCUCAUUCGGUUUCACCCCAUUUUUAUCCCAACCCUAAUUUCCCCAUAUAUAUAUAGUCCUCAUAGAAGGAGAGGGAGAUUUUCUUUUAUUAAAAAAAUAUCACAGAGAGAGAGAUAGAGAAUUGGGGAAGAAAUCUUUUUUACGAGAAGAGAGGCGAGAAAAAUCGAAGAUUGAGCAUCUUCCAACUAAUACUAAGAGAAAAGCUUAAAAUAGAUAUAAGCCACAUUUAAAAUAAGUAUAACAGGGAAUCAGUCCUAGUCUAGUUCGAUUCCUUUGUUUUCUUUCAGCAUAAGCUCGCUGGAGAUCAUGGCUUCAUCCAUCGUUCUAUGUGUUAGCCGUGUUCGGGUUCGUGUCUGUAUUUGUGUGGUGGAGGAGCUCGUUGGCUGUCUCAGUUGCUCUGCCUCGAAAAAGUUCUUAGAUACAGGAAAUUGCAUGAAGCAGAUUUAUAUUCUGCUUUUUAUAGCCUGAAGAAUUUCAAAGAUGCAUAUGUCAUCCCUGUUGAACCUAUCUCCUGCGAGAGUACAUGGGAUAUACCAAGUUAUAUUUCAGAGCCUAAAUUAAUGUCAUAGGUCCAAAGAGAUCAGUGGGAAGACCGCAACUUGAAGAAUUUAGUUGAUGUGAAAUUCAAAAGGUCAAAGAUUACUUGCAUUAGAUGUCGUCAAGUUGGACAUAACAGGAAGACAUGUUCAAAUUAUCCUGAGCAAAAAAAUGAUUUCUUGUUUUUUACUUUUUGUUACACAAUUUUUAUGUUGUUUUGUCUAUUAGACACAUGUUUUGUUUUAUGGAGUGCAUUUGGUAUCAUUAAUAUUUGAGUAAUUGUGAUUUUUGAA
Long non-coding RNA from Solanum pennellii, 1156 nucleotides. RefSeq lists it as uncharacterized. The record is from RefSeq and is a predicted model, not a curated record. NCBI's taxonomy places the organism in Eukaryota, Viridiplantae, Streptophyta, Magnoliopsida, Solanales, Solanaceae. The transcript is spliced from 2 exons.